UGAGUAUUGUACCAUGCGGUGA
RNAcentral lists this microRNA (22 nucleotides) under Echinococcus granulosus. RNAcentral's name for it is "egr-miR-10228-5p". The record is from miRBase by way of RNAcentral. Lineage: Eukaryota; Metazoa; Platyhelminthes; Cestoda; Cyclophyllidea; Taeniidae.